UUUCUUUCAAAGCAAAGUAACCCUAACACGUGAAUUGUCAUUGGAGUCUGCACCAACAUUCAUAAAAUACUUCUGAGAAAAAGAAUACCUUUUUCAGCCAGAAAACUAUGGAUCUCUUUUUCUUAGGAUCUCUGCUGAUUUUGUUUCCCCAUUUUUGCAGAUCUUUUCUUCUUUUUUUCCAAUUUUUUGCACUCUGUUUCCUUUUUUUUUCGUCGUUAGUUCCUCGAUUUUGUUUCGGACGAAGAAUUAUGCGAGAUCUCAUCCCAGGCUCCAACUCCUCUUCUCCAAGUUUGAAAGUAAGGCUACCUUCCAUUUCAUAAGAUUUUCUCACCAGAUUUCCAACUAGACUCUCUGUAUUCAU
Molecule: long non-coding RNA, 361 nt
Filed under: Prunus dulcis (almond)
Lineage: Eukaryota; Viridiplantae; Streptophyta; Magnoliopsida; Rosales; Rosaceae
Description: sRNA ncRNA
Source: RNAcentral